AUGCCCUAGACAACUUUAGGGAAAACUAUAUGAUUAAGCUUGUAUUCCAAGUUGGCCUCUAGAACAAAAGUUUAUUCUGUAGACAUCUUGGAUUAAUAACAAAGCCUUAUGCUUUAAGAGACAUGUAGCUAUUUGCAUAAGGAUUAAUAAGCACUACUGAAGAAGAAAAAGGUGGAUAUAUUAAAAUAGUUUUCACCUUUAUACACAUAUAUUUGAUUGCCUUUUUUUGAGGUGGGGGGGCACUUGUGAGCUGUGGAGAAGGAGCAGAGGGAGAAGGGUAGAGAGAAUCCCAAGCAGGCUCUGUGCCAGCUCAGCUGAUGUCAAGAGUCAGAUACUUACCCAACUGAGCCAGGUGCCACCUCUGCAUACAUUUGAUUCUUGAUCAACUAUUUGUCUAUCUCCCUUUCCUUUCAUACAUUGAAAUUCAGGAAAGACUUAAUAUUAUGUUUGUUUCUACAUACAUCAUACUGGCUGAAUGCUCCAGGCAAUGGUGCCAUAAAAGGAUUUAGUGUUGGUCUCCACUGCUGGCAUGUUGAACACUCAGCAGUGGUCAUAGUCAGGAGGUCUUUGGUAAGUGGAAGACUAUAAUGCUCAGCUCAUGUAUUAUCUACAUCCCUGUUACCAUGGCCAAUUUGUUCAUGAACCCACUGGGUAAUGACAGAAGUGAUUAGGAAAAGAUGCUGACUGAUAUCCAUAACCAGGUCAUUCUAUCCACUCGUUAAAAUCCUCUUCUUCUGAAGUCACCCUUUUGGGUGCAUUCAUGUGGUACACAAUAUCUUCAUGUUUUCUGUCAUUCUGAGAGAUCUAGCUAUACAUGUCUUCCUUAAAUUUUUUUGUCACCAGUUUUACAGUCAUAUUCCAUCCAAGUCCCUGACCAUCCAACCAAACAUUUGUCUACAGUACAAGAAUUGGUAUAUAAUUACACAUGGGGCCAUUUCUCUUUCCAAACAAAGUGAACAGCCAGGUGCACUGCUUAAACUUCUGCCCACUGGGAGACUUUUCCUUCAUCACUGCCCUUCAUGGAUGUCCCAGAAAAUGUAACACUGCAGCUUUCCACUUUCUGGUAGUGCCUGUAUAUUAUGCAGAACCAUCUGUAAACUAGUCCUAAGUCUAUUCUUCUGUCAACCAAUCAUAGAGAACUCCACAUGGUGCCAUAAGUACCAGCUGGAAGUGAGAAGCAAUGUAGCAGAAGUAGAAACCAUGAGGUCUCUUCUUCAUAUAAUUUAUUUAUGCCUUUAGGUUCUCCUAGUGCCCAAUGAUGUCACUUCUGUUUGGUGAUAGUGUUACUAUGCAUACCCAACUUUAUGGCUUGUUAGGUCAGAAACACAUGGCUCAUGAUGAACAUCUCAGGUCACAUGGUAAACUGGUGGUCCAUGGUUAAGUGUUUAGUCUCUACAAAGGCCCAGUAAUAGGCCAAGAGCUGAUUCUCAAAAGGAGAAUAGCUAUUUGUGGAGGAUGGCAGAGCUGUGGUCCAAAAUGCUAAUUGCUUGCAUUUUGCAAUUGUAAAGUGAUUUACCUGUAGGAGUUUGCCAUAGGUUAUUUAAAAUAUCCCUACUUGCCAAUGAACUUUAAGCACCAUUGGAUCUGCUGGAUCUUAUGGCCCAAGUGGCAGAGUAGCUUACACUUAAGGCUGGACAUAUUCCAGAGCCUUCUCUUCUGGGUCACACUCAAAAUUGGCAGCUUUCCAAGUCCCUCAAUAAAGGGGCCAGAGUAAUAUACCUAAAUGAGGAAUGUGUUGUCUCCAAAUUCCAAAGAGGCUCACUAUGGAUUGAGCUUGUUUUUUUAUUUAAGGAAAAGCAAGAUACAAGGAUUUCUCCUUUACCUUAGAAUGGACGUCUCAAUAUGCCCCAUAUUAACAAUGCCUAAAAGUUUCGCUGAGGUAAAAGACCUCUAAAGUUUGGUCACAUUUAAUUUUCAUCCUAUGGCAUGUACAUUUCUUACCAAUAACUCUAAAGUAGUUUCUACUUCCGGCUCACUAGGUCAGCAUAAUAUCAUCAAACCAAUGGAAAUUUGUGACAUCUUGUGGAAGAGAAAGUCAAUCAGGGUCCCUGAGAAAUACAUGAUGACAUACAACUGGAGUCUUGACAUACCCUUGAAGUACUGGUACACAUGCCUCAUAAAUAAGACCUUAUUGAAUGCCCACCAGGAUCCUCUGAGCUCAGCAACAUUAUUGUCCUCAUUUCAUAGCAGAAAGAACAGGUUUAGAGGUCAAAUUGAAACUCUGCAUUCUGACUUCAAGUACUAAGCUUUUAGCUAUUAUGCUAAGCAGAAAAUGCCAGGAUUUACUGAAUAUUAUGAAAAUAUACUUGAAAAAAUAAUGUUUCAUCGAAAUAAAGGAAAAGAAGGUAUUAAGUUGACUUCACCAAAUUGGGACAACCCCCACCAUCACCACCACUGCCAUCAAAGAAAUAGCUAUGGACAAUUCAUUUCAUAGAAGUAGAGAGUUGAGAAGCAAAUAUUUUAUUUUUAUCAACUGGUAUUCCAUACUGCCUCAUUUUGUGAAU
Canis lupus familiaris (dog) is the source of this 2504-nucleotide long non-coding RNA. RefSeq lists it as uncharacterized. The transcript is spliced from 3 exons. The record is from RefSeq and is a predicted model, not a curated record. Lineage: Eukaryota; Metazoa; Chordata; Mammalia; Carnivora; Canidae.